Molecule: ribosomal RNA, 247 nt
Filed under: uncultured bacterium
Lineage: Bacteria
Description: partial 16S ribosomal RNA
Rfam family: Bacterial small subunit ribosomal RNA
Source: RNAcentral
AGACAGAGGGUGCAAACGUUGUUCGGAAUCACUGGGCGUAAAGCGCGUGUAGGCGGCUACGUAAGUCGGACGUGAAAUCCCACGGCUCAACCGUGGAAGUGCGCUCGAAACUGUGUAGCUUGAGUCCUGGAGAGGAAGACGGAAUACUUGGUGUAGAGGUGAAAUUCGUAGAUAUCAGGUAGAACACCAGUGGCGAAGGCGGUCUUCUGGACAGUGACUGACGCUGAGACGCGAAAGCGUGGGGAGC